UCAGUCAGCGCAGCGUAAUAAUAGAAACUAACCAGGAUUCCCUUAGUAACGGCGAGUGAACUGGGAUGCCAAUAUAUAAUAUGUACCUCGUGUGCAUAAAUUAGCCCGUCGAUACUAUCCUAGCGUAUGUCACCGGUCUUCGGGUCGGUACUCAAAUACGCGGGAAUUGUAGCAUCGUAAUAAUUAAAAGUAUACAGCACACACACACACACACACACAUAAGAACCCACGCCAACCUGCGUACACCACUUGUAAACACACAGCGUCUCCGCGUUGGAAAGCAAGUAUAUAUCCUCUUUGGAUAAGCCAUAGAGUGUGACAGCCACGUUUCGCCCAUAUGAUAGUUACGCACACACACACACACAUACACCAAAGGCGCGGCGUGCGAGUGCACAACGUAUAUAUACUAUAACCUGAGUCGAGUUAUUUGGGACUAUAGCUCUAAUAGUUUGGUUGGUGGUAAUGACGCAUCAAAGGCUAAAUAUUGGUUAGUCGAUGCAUAUUGCGGAGACCGAUAGCAUACAAGUACCGUAAGGGAACGAUGAAAAGCACCCUAUUGAGUUCACGGCGCAGACUCGACAUUCGUGUCUUGUCCAGCGCCCAACAACUACAGUGGGAGUGAAAGAGAGAGU
This 632-nucleotide ribosomal RNA is filed under the name Ammonia sp. genotype T2. RNAcentral's name for it is "partial large subunit ribosomal RNA". It matches the Rfam family "Eukaryotic large subunit ribosomal RNA", at positions 43 to 400 of the family's 3401-position model. The record is from RNAcentral. Lineage: Eukaryota; Foraminifera; Rotaliida; Rotaliidae.